CAUCGACGAGACGCCAAGUGUCAGUAGGAAAUUUUUUCAAAAAUUUUUUUGACUUUUUAGCUCUCUCUCGACCAGGAGUGCUUUGAAUUUUCAUCUCUCACGAAGUCGGACACAAUCAGACAGAGAAACGAUUGAAAUUUUAUAACCUCGAAGAACGCCUCCGUCUUCCUUUGUUACCUUUACGAGAAAAGGUUAAUGACCUUAACUGAACGUAAAUGCGAACCACUGACAAUGAGCAUGAGACCGAUGGUAACUAGGAAGCACUCAAGCAGCAAUCAUUAGAACUAAAACGGAUAAACGAGACGGGAAACCGUAGUUAAAGCUCGCUUCCUUAUAGGGACGCACAGACUUCCUUUCAUACGGCGAACCUUAAGCUCCGUAUUGACGAUUAAAGUUCCAUGAUAGCCGUCUCUGAUAGCGGACAUUUAAUAGGAUGAUGGAUUGCCAUAACUCAUCCCGUCGGAGUCUCGUCCGAGAGCAUCGAUAGUCCAUGGCAAAAGUCAAGAGCUAAUAGAACCCCUCGGCUGUAGUAUGUGGGCUGCGCGUAAGUCGACGAGUUUAAUCGUCACUUGUAAACGAAUUAAAUAUCCCGCGGAGCUUCAGCGACCAGACAAAUUAUCUCGUUACGUAUAGAGAAUGAGACAAAAAGAAACAAUGGAAAGAAAAUAAAUAAAAUUCUCGAACGAGAAUCGCCAUUUUUCUCCUACACUCGGCAAUCAGCAGCAGCGAGAGCUACAUUUUCUUUCGCUCGAGAUCGUUUACGCGGUACCGCGUGGCAUUCGUAUAUCAUAGAGGUUGUGUUUCGUCGUUAAUAAACGCAAAAAAAUAUUACGUCGCUAACCCACAGAGAUUGCUAUCUCGUAAUAACGUUGUAUCCACGAAAAUUGUACUAUCGAUCGGGAUCGCAUAAUUACCCAUAAUUCCUCGACAAACGCAUGCCUUUUCUAGUUUCACUCGAUAUAUACAUAUAUACGUUUUAUGAAUAACAGACUAAAUUCACUGUUGUUCCAUAUGUAACGGCGUGCCGACUCGUCCCACUUUCGCAAACGACUUUUCUUCGCAAUAGAAAAAGAUACGAUUACGAACGAACUUCUCUAACCGACCGAGUAUGAUUUUACUCUUGCAUAACGUGCAUAUCCGAGGACGUUAUUGUAUCGUCGCAUAGGAUCUUGUAGAGUCGUAUUUCUGUGCAAUUGAAAUUAGGCCUUCUUCUAAUGGAUUGUGAAAAUUCAUUCGUGACAUUACGAUUAAAUCGUACCGUGUCACGUGCACGUAUAUUUGCGCUAAAAGACUACGCGCAUUUUAAAAACCCUUUUCUUUUGUAUUUCAUCUAUUUAUACUACGCAGCGAUAGUGCGACAGAGUGUACGGCUUAGUAUGUUUAAGCACGCAUAUCAUUGUUCCAAGUCACGCGAGCAUGAAAAAGUAUGGCUCAAAUGACAGGUGAAGGGGAAAAAAGAUGGCGAAUAUUUUUACAGCAUUCUUUCGCUCUGUAACGACUGCUUGAUGUGUACAGUCACGUAAAAAAGUAUCAAGAAAAAUUUUAAUGAAUUAACCAUACCUAAAAUACGGAUUUCCGAAAUCAAUCGUCAUUUUAUAUUUCGAUCGUCAAUUAAUUCCCUAAUAAGUCGUACCAACCGCUUGGCUCCAGUGCGAAAUCCGAAUAAGAACACGAAAUCUGAUCGAACAUGACCGAACCUAACCUCACCCAUAACGCUAGACUGCGAUUGGACAUAAAGCGCAGAAAGUUCAAUCAAUCGUUCCGCAUAUCGAGUGGAAAGUCGAUAACGGCAAAGCGUUAGGUUAUAUCACGACUGUACAAACCGGAAAUGACAGUCUACAGACAGCAAUAACGUAGCAGCAAAUCUAUUCCUAGAAUUCCCAUCUCUCUUGUAUUCUCACUGAUACCUGAGAUUCCGAGGAGAUUUUUAUUGCGCUCAGUAAAUUUAUACGCGAGAACCUUUCAUGAGGUACAAGA
Long non-coding RNA from Cephus cinctus (wheat stem sawfly), 1977 nucleotides. RefSeq lists it as uncharacterized. The transcript is spliced from 3 exons. The record is from RefSeq and is a predicted model, not a curated record. NCBI's taxonomy places the organism in Eukaryota, Metazoa, Arthropoda, Insecta, Hymenoptera, Cephidae.